Molecule: non-coding RNA, 217 nt
Organism: Solanum tuberosum (potato)
Lineage: Eukaryota; Viridiplantae; Streptophyta; Magnoliopsida; Solanales; Solanaceae
Source: Rfam
ACGACCUUACUUGAACAGGAUCUGUUCUAUAGGCUCGUACCACUGUAUCCUUGAUUUCUAAGGAGACAGGAAACCAAGUCUGGUUGAUGAAGCAUGGCCAUGUGACCAGAGCGUGAUUAACAGUCAACCAUUGCUCGUCGAGCUGUGGUUGUAGUAGAUGAUCGUUCUUAGACCCUGAUCUCAGGCCUAGGAUGGUCCCAUGGCUGUCUGACAGACU